ACUGACUCUCUUUUCGGACUCAGCCCGCCUGCACCCAGGUGAAAUAAACAGCCUUGUUGCUCACACAAAGCCUGUUUGGUGGUCUCUUCACACGGACAUGCAUUAAAUUUGGUGCCGUGACUCAGAUCAGGGGACCUCCCUUGGGAAAUCAAUCCCCUGUCCUCCUGCUCUUUGCUCCGUGAGAAAGAUCCACCUACGACCUCAGGUCCUCAGACCAACCAGCCCAAGAAACAUCUCACCAAUUUCAAAUCCAGUAAGCCGCCUCUUUUUACUCUCUUCUCCAACCUCCCUCACUAUCCCUCAGCCUCUUUCUCCUUUCAAUCUUGGUGCCACACUUCAAUCUCUCCCUUCUUUUAAUUUCAAUUCCUUUCAUUUUCUGGUAGAGACAAAGGAGACAUGUUUUAUCCCUGGACCCAAAACUCUGGCGCCGGUCACGGACUAGGGAAGGCAGCUUUCCCUUGGUGUUUAAUCAUUUCAGGGACACCUCUCUGAUUAUUUACCCAGGUUUCAGAGGUGUCAGACCACGCAGGGAUGCCUGCCUUGGUCCUUCACCCUUAGUGGCAAGUCCUGCUUUUCUGGGGAAGGGGCAAGUACCCCAACCCCUUCUCUCCGUGUCUCUACCCCUUCUCUGCCUUUCUGGGGGGCAAGAAACCCCCAACCCUUUCUCCUUCACCCUGAGUGGCAAGUCCCACUUUUCUAGAGGAGGGGAAAGUACCCCAACCUCAUAUCUCUGCACCUCAAUCCCUUAUUUCCACACCCCAACCUAUUAUCUCUGUGCCCCAAUCCCUUAUUUCCAUGCCCCAACCUCUUAUCUCUGCACCACAAUCCCUUAUUUCCAUGCCCCGACAUCUUAUGUCUCCACGCCCUGACCUCGUAUCUCUGCACCCCGACCCCUUUCCUGCUUUUCUGGAGGGUAAGAACCCCUGAACCGCUUCCCUCCGUGUCUCUACUCUCCCUUUUCUUUAAACUUGCCUCCUUCACUAUAGGCAACCUUCCACCCUCCAUUCCUCCUUCUUCUCUCUUAGCCUGUGUUCUCAAAAACUUAAAACCUCUUCAACUCACACCUGACCUAAAACCUAAAUGCCUUAUUUUCUUCUGCAAUGCCGCUUGACCCCAAUACAAACUCAACAGUAGUUCCAAAUAGCCGGAAAACAGCACUUUCAAUUUUUCCAUCCUGCAAGAUCUAAAUAAUUCUUGUCGUAAAAUGGGCAAACGGUCUGAGGUGCCUGACGUCCAGGCAUUCUUUUACACAUCGGUCCCUCCCCAGUCUCUGUGCCCAAUGCAACUCAUCCCAAAUCUUCCUUCUUUCCCUCCCACCUGUCCCCUCAGUCCCAACCCCAAGCAUCACUGAGUCUUUCUAAUCUUCCUUUUCUACAGACCCAUCUGACCUCUCCCCUCCUCCCCAGGCUGCUCCUCACCAGGCCGAGCUAGGUCCCAAGUCUUCCUCAGCCUCCGCUCCUCCACCCUAUAAUCCUUUUAUCACCUCCUCUCCUCACACCCAGUCCGGUCCGGCUUACAGUUUCAUUCCGUGACUAGCCCUCCCCCACCUGCCAGCAAUUUACUCUUAAAAAGGUGGCUGGAGCUAAAGGCAUAGUCAAGGUUAUUGCUCCUUUUUCUUUAUCCCAAAUCAGAUAGCGUUUAGGCUCUUUAUCAAUAUAAAAAUCCAGCCCAGUUCAUAACUUGUUUGGCAGCAACCCUGAGACACUUUACAGCCCUAGACCCUAAAAGGUCAAAAGGCCGUCUUAUUCUCAAAAUACAUUUUAUUACCCAAUCUGCUCCUGACAUUAAAUAAAACUCCAAAAAUUAAAUUCCAGCCCUCAAACCCCACAACAGGAUUUAAUUAACCUCGCCUUCAAGGUGUACAAUAAUAGAAAAAAGUUGCAAUUCCUUGCCUCCACUGUGAGACAAACCCCAACCACAUCUCUAGCACACAAGAACUUCCAAAUGCCUGAACCGCAGCGGCCAGGCGUUCCUCCAGUACCGCCUCCCCCAGGAGCUUGCUACAAGUGCCAGAAAUCUGGCCACCAGGCCAAGGAAUGCCUGCAGCCCAGGAUUCCUCCUAAGCCGCGUCCCAUCUGUGCGAGACCCCACUGGAAAUCGGACUGUCCAACUCACCUGGCAGCCACUCCCAGAGCCCCUGGAACUCUGGCCCAAGGCUCUCUGACUCCUUCCCAGAUCUUCUUGGCUUAGCGGCUGAAGACUGACGCUGCCCAGUCGCCUCGGAAGCCCCCCUACAUCAUGGACGCUGAGCUUCAGAUAACUCUCACAGUGGAAGUUUGGUCCAGAGAGCUGCCUUAGACUCCCCAGUAAAUCUAUUCAAACAGCUGCCUCUGUUACCUUGACUCGUCUCAGAUGUCAUCGACCUGAGAUGGCUCCUGGCGCAAGGAAGGGCAUUCCAGAGUCAACCUAAAAAUCAAGUUCAGGCCAUGAUGGAAGAGACGGAGUUGGACAUGCCUCAUUAUUCCCUACUGCCUUUUGGAACUCAGGAAAAGCUGAUCAGCAUUAACAUCAACACAGACCUUAGUCUGAUAAGAAGCAUUUAUAAUCUAUUGUCUCUGAAACUUGCUAUUUGGUGGCUUCGUCUGCAUCAUAAAACUAUCUCCAAAAACCCUCAUUUUAACCUAGACAUUCUUUUCUAUUGAUAUAACUCUUUCAACCAAUUGCCAAUCAGAAAAGUUUUAAAUCUGUUUAUGACCUGGAAGCCCCCACUUUGAAUUGUUCCACACUUCCAGAUCAAGCCAAUGUAAAUCUUAUAUGCAUUGAUUGAUGCAUUAUGUCUCCCUAAAAUGUACAAAAAGCUAGCUGUACCCUGACCCCAUUGGGCACAUGUCAUCAGGACCUCCUGAGGCUGUUUCACAGGCAUGUCUUUAACCUUGGUAAAAUAAACUUUCUAAAUUAAGAACAACCUCAAAUAUUUUAUAUAUAUAUAUUUAGAGGGAGUCUUGAUCUCUUGAUCGAUCACCCAGUCUUGAGGGCAGUGGCGUGAUCACGGCUCACUGCAACAUCUGCCUUCAGGCUCAAGUGAUCCUUCUGCCUCAGCCUCCCAAGUAGCUGGGACUAUAGGCACAUGCCACCAUGCCUGGCUAAUUUUUGCAUUUUUUUGUAGAGAUGGGGUCUCAGUAUGUUGCCCAGGCUGGUCUCAAACUCCUAAGCUCAAGCAAUUUACCUGCUUGACCUUCCAAAGUGCUGGGAUUACAGAUGUGAGCCAUCAUGCCUGACCUUUCUCAGAUAUUUUAGGUUCACAAAUUGGAAACCAUGAAGGGAUUCUGAGUGGAGGUGCCCCUGACUUUAGACAAAUCUCCUAUCGGUGCUUCGUAUUAGGUUUAGCUACUUUUUUGGCUCAAACCAAUAGGACAAUUUGCAGACACCUGGGUGCUCCCCCUCACUACUCCAGAGAAUCCCUGAUCUCCCAAAAUUUGGUUGAGAUAUAAAGUUUAUUUUGUUGCACACCUUCUUUUCAAGACAUAUAGGAAACAGAUUAUCUAAGAAUGACCCCUUCACACACCUAUUUUGUUUUACGGUGCCUCUCCUUGCAAGUGGUUGUGUAAAUGAAAGAACAUGUCACAUCUUCUAAUAUUCCAGUUUAGUUAAACAUUACGUCUGUUCUUGUGCACAUUUUAAACUAACAGGGAAAUCACAUCAAGGAAAAUUCAGAGCCUAAAAGUUGACCUGCAACUAUAAAGUUUCUAAGUUCUCUGUCAAUCUCUCUGUUUUCUUUUCUUCCUGCUUUUUACGUCUCCUGUUAAUUUUCUAUUAGAUAAAAUCCACUGUUUACAUCCAAAUGUUUCUUUUCAUUAUUUGCUUCUGCAAACCAGUGAGUUUGUAUUAAUACUUUAUGGCUAGAGUUCUGAAGUAAAAGCUAUAAGAUUUUUGUUUGUAUAACUGUGUAUGUGUGUAUUUAUGUGUAUGUAUUGUAUUAGUCCAUUUUCACACUGCUGAUAAAGACAUACCGGAGACUGAGUAAUUUACAAAAUAAAGAGGUUUAAUAGACACAUGUAGAACAUGGCUGGGGAGGCCUAACAAUCAUGGUGGAAAGCAAGGAGGAACAAGUCACAUCUUACAUGGAUGAUGGCAGGCAAAGAGAGAGAGCUUGUGCAGGGAAACUCCCACUUAUAAAACCAUCAGAUCUUGUGAGAUUUAUUCACUAUCAUGAGAACAGCACAGAAAAGACUUCAUGAUUCAAUUACUUCCCACCAGAUUCCUUUAACAACACAUGGGAAUUUGAGAUGAGACUUGGGUGGGGACACAGCCAAACCAUAUUAUUCUGCCCCUUGCCCCUCCCAAAUCUCAUUUCCUCACAUGUCAAAACCAGUCAUGUUUCCCCAACAGUCCCCCAAAGUCUCAACUCAUUUCAGUAUUAGCUCAAAAGCCCAUAGUCCAAUGUUGCAUCUGAGACAAGGCAAAUCACUUCUGCCUAUGAGUCUGUAAAAUCAAAAGCAAGUUAGCUACUUCCUAGCUACAAAGGGGGUACAGGUAUUGGGUAAAUACACCCAUUCCAUAUUAAAGAAAUUGGCCAAAACAAAAAGGCUACAGGCCCCAUGCCAGUCUGAAAUCCAGCAGGUCAGUUAAAUUUUAAGGCUCCAAAAUGAUCUCCUUUGACUCCAGGUCUCAUAUCCAGGCCACACAGGCACAAAAGGUGGGUCUCCAUGGUCUUGGGCAGCUCUGCCUAUGUGGCUUUGCAAGGUGCAGUCUCCCUUCUGGCUGCCUUCACAGGCUGUCAUUGAGUGUCUGUGGCUUUUUCAGGCACACAGUGCAAGCCAUCAGUUGAUCUAACAUUCUGGGAUCUGGAGGACUGGAGGAUGGUGACUCUCUUCUCACAGAUCCACUAGGUGGUGCCCCAAUAGGGACACUGUGUGGGGGCUCCAACCCAUUUCUAUUCUGCACUGCCCUAGCAGAGAUUCUCUAUGAGGUCCCUGACCCUGCAGCAAACUUCUGCCUGGACAUCCUGGCAUUUCCAUACAUCUUCUGAAAUCCAUGUGGAGGUCCCCAAACCCCACUUCUUGACUUGUGUACACUCACAGGCUCAACGCCACAUGGAAGCUGCCAAGGCUUGGUGCUUGCACCCUCUGAAGCCAUGGCCUGAACUCUAGUUUGGCCCCUUUUAGCCAUUGCUGGAGUGGCUGAGACAUAGGACAGCAAGUCCAUGGACUGCACACAGCACGGGGAUCCUGGGUUCAGGCAACAAAACCACUGUCUCCUACUAGGCCUCCAGGCCUGUGAUGGAAGGGUCUCCAUGAAUACCUCUGACAUGCCCUGGAGGCAUUUUUCCCGUUGUCUUGGGGAUUAACAUUUGCCUCCUCAUUACUUAUGCAAAUUUCUGCAGCUGGCUUGAAUUUCUCCUCAGAAAAUGGGAUUUUCUUUUCUAUUGUAUUGUCAGGCUGCAAAUUUUCUCAACUUUUAUGCUCUGCUUCCCUUAUAAAACUGAAUGCCUUUAACAGCACCCAAGUCACAUCUUGAAUCCUUUACUGCUUAGGCAUUUCUUCUACCAGAUACCCUAAAUCAUCUCUCUCAAGUCUGAAGUUCCACAAAUCUUUAGGGCAGGGUCAAAAUGCCACCACUCUCUUUGCUAAAACAUAACAAGAGUCACCUUUGCUCCAGUUCCCAACAAGUUUCUUAUUUCCACCUGAGACCACCUCAGCCUGGACUUUAAUAUCCGUAUCACUAACAGCAUUUUGGCCAAAGCCAUUCAACAAGUCUCUAGGAAGUUCCAAACUUUUAUUGUCUUCUGAGCCCCACAAGCUGUUCUAACUUCUGCCUGUUACCCAGUUCCAAAGUUUCUUUGACAUUUGAAGGUAUCUUUUCAGCAGCUCACCCUCUACUGGUACCAACUUACUGUAUUAGUGCAUUUUCACACUGCUGAUAAAGCCAUAUUGAGACUGGGCAAUUUACAAAAGAAAGAGAUUUAGUGGACUUACAGUUUCACAUGGCUGGGGAGGCCUCACAAUUAUGGUGGAAGACAAGGAGGAGCAAGUCACAUCUUAUGUGGAUGGCACCAGGCAAAAAGGGAGAGUUUGUGCAGGGAAAUUUGGGUGGGGACACGGCCAAACUGUAUCACGUAUGCCUAUUUUGUUAUGUGUUUUUGACUACAAGGUACCAAGUUGACUUAAAGAGUACUCAUAAAUUAAAUAAAAAGCCAAACUGCUUUUCAAGUUCAUGUGACUUAAGUAAACUCUAAUAAAUUAGUUGGCUUUAAAAUCAUUGGUAAAGUAAUAUUAGAGAUGUUUCAAGAAUUGUCAGCCUACAUUUCUGUUUGCAUUAUUGAUCAAGUGAUUUUAUACUUAUCCCUGCCAAAUACUAUAAGGUGUCAAAAUUUGCCAUAAGGGUUAAAAACUAUAAACCCAGCCAAAAACAGAAUGACUUUUGCUUGUAUAAUUUUUUGAUAAAUAAAACAUUAAUAUUGUUGGUUUAAU
Long non-coding RNA from Homo sapiens (human), 6410 nucleotides. RefSeq lists it as uncharacterized. The transcript has 3 exons. The record is from RefSeq and is a predicted model, not a curated record. NCBI's taxonomy places the organism in Eukaryota, Metazoa, Chordata, Mammalia, Primates, Hominidae.